Molecule: ribosomal RNA, 468 nt
Filed under: uncultured bacterium
Lineage: Bacteria
Description: partial 16S ribosomal RNA
Rfam family: Bacterial small subunit ribosomal RNA
Source: RNAcentral
GACGAACGCUGGCGGCGUGCUUAACACAUGCAAGUCGAACGGAAAGGCCCUGCUUUUGUGGGGUGCUCGAGUGGCGAACGGGUGAGUAACACGUGAGUAACCUGCCCUUGACUUUGGGAUAACUUCAGGAAACUGGGGCUAAUACCGGAUAGGAGCUCCUGCUGCAUGGUGGGGGUUGGAAAGUUUCGGCGGUUGGGGAUGGACUCGCGGCUUAUCAGCUUGUUGGUGGGGUAGUGGCUUACCAAGGCUUCGACGGGUAGCCGGCCUGAGAGGGUGACCGGCCACAUUGGGACUGAGAUACGGCACAGACUCCUACGGGAGGCAGCAGUGGGGAAUAUUGCACAAUGGGCGGAAGCCUGAUGCAGCAACGCCGCGUGCGGGAUGACGGCCUUCGGGUUGUAAACCGCUUUCGCCUGUGACGAAGCGUGAGUGACGGUAAUGGGUAAAGAAGCACCGGCUAACUACGUG